GUUGCGAGGGACAUUUAAGAUCUUCUAGUUCCAUCUAGUUCCAGCUCCCCUGGGGUUGCCAGAAAGGGACUUGGAAAUGACUUUGAGCUUUGGGAAAAAAGGGAAAAAACAUAAUCUCAAGGAACAGUAAAUCAAGGCGUGUGUCUGAGGCAUGAUGCCUUCUACAGCCAAUGCCUACUGGGGAAUGUUCCCUGACACCAAACCAUCCUUCUACAAACCACAGUGAAUAAAACCCAAGGUCUGUUCUGCCAGGACAGAAGGACGUUCACCUGAAGGAAGCAGUGCACAGACCCUUGUAUCUUCCCAUCUGCAGAAGCUGAGGUUUUGGGCCAUGUCCUGGAAGAUGACAGAAGCUUCAUACAUAUCAACAUGAGGACUCAUCUCAAUAACUGAUGCACUGACUUUCCUUUCCAAAAGCUUACAGCACAACCAGAGACCUCACCAGCUGUCUGACAGCUCUCAAGCAAGUUGAAAUGCUGCCUACUGUUUGGCCACCUCUGACUGUGAUGGUUACUGUCUCUGCCUGUCUUUUUGUGGAUGAUUCUUAGGGUAUCUUUCUAGAAGCAUCUCCUCCAGUUCAGUGAGAAGGGCUCAGUGCAUAACCUCUGUCCUGGCAGAUGGGAAAUGAGCCAUCAAAGAUCUCUCUAUAGUCAAAAUUAUGUUUUAUUCUGCCUGUGAUAUUUGUUGUAGGAAAGGAGGAAUUAUUCCUUGGAUGCUCAUCUCACCACUGAAUGCAAAAGCUGCCUCGUUGCCAACUCAUAGGCAGUCCAUGUUCCUGCAUGGUGAAAUUGCAGCCAAUGACCACCCCUACAUGGUGAAAUUCUACAUUUUGCCAUGUAGAAGAGCUGAACAGAUGAUCCCAGUGACAGAAGCCAUGGAUAUCAACCACACAAAAGAGUUAAGGCUCCAUCUCAUUCCUGGGACAGAGAAGGAAGCAAAAAUCAGUCCUUCAGACUUCAGAUUUCUGGUGAAUUUACAACAUAAAUUAUUUAUUACCCUAAACAAAGCUGUUCCCUUAUCAUUUUCAUUUCUACAUUCCCCC
Molecule: long non-coding RNA, 1042 nt
Organism: Phasianus colchicus (ring-necked pheasant)
Lineage: Eukaryota; Metazoa; Chordata; Aves; Galliformes; Phasianidae
Source: RefSeq, a predicted model, not a curated record